RNAcentral lists this ribosomal RNA (424 nucleotides) under uncultured bacterium. Its description in RNAcentral is "bacterial SSU rRNA". It matches the Rfam family "Bacterial small subunit ribosomal RNA", at positions 356 to 773 of the family's 1533-position model. The record is from RNAcentral.
GAGGAAUUUUGCGCAAUGGGGGCAACCCUGACGCAGCAACGCCGCGUGAGUGAUGAAGGCCUUCGGGUCGUAAAGCUCUGUCGAAUGGGAAGAAACAGUGAUGGUUAAUAUCCAUUGCCUUGACGGUACCAUUAGAGGAAGCACCGGCUAACUCCGUGCCAGCAGCCGCGGUAAUACGGGGGGUGCAAGCGUUAUUCGGAAUUAUUGGGCGUAAAGGGUGCGUAGGCGGUUUUGUAAGUCAGAUGUGAAAUCCCGGGGCUUAACUUCGGAACUGCAUUUGAUACUGCAAGACUUGAGUAUGGGAGAGGGAAGCGGAAUUCCUGGUGUAGAGGUGAAAUUCGUAGAUAUCAGGAGGAACACCGGUGGCGAAGGCGGCUUCCUGGACCAAUACUGACGCUGAGGCACGAAGGCGUGGGGAGCAAAC